RNAcentral lists this ribosomal RNA (538 nucleotides) under Citrobacter werkmanii. Its description in RNAcentral is "partial 23S ribosomal RNA". It matches the Rfam family "Bacterial large subunit ribosomal RNA", at positions 2263 to 2800 of the family's 2925-position model. The record is from RNAcentral. Lineage: Bacteria; Pseudomonadati; Pseudomonadota; Gammaproteobacteria; Enterobacterales; Enterobacteriaceae.
GGGUAGUUUGACUGGGGCGGUCUCCUCCCAAAGAGUAACGGAGGAGCACGAAGGUUAGCUAAUCCUGGUCGGACAUCAGGAGGUUAGUGCAAAGGCAUAAGCUAGCUUGACUGCGAGAGUGACGGCUCGAGCAGGUGCGAAAGCAGGUCUUAGUGAUCCGGUGGUUCUGAAUGGAAGGGCCAUCGCUCAACGGAUAAAAGGUACUCCGGGGAUAACAGGCUGAUACCGCCCAAGAGUUCAUAUCGACGGCGGUGUUUGGCACCUCGAUGUCGGCUCAUCACAUCCUGGGGCUGAAGUAGGUCCCAAGGGUAUGGCUGUUCGCCAUUUAAAGUGGUACGCGAGCUGGGUUUAGAACGUCGUGAGACAGUUCGGUCCCUAUCUGCCGUGGGCGCUGGAGAAUUGAGGGGGGCUGCUCCUAGUACGAGAGGACCGGAGUGGACGCAUCACUGGUGUUCGGGUUGUCAUGCCAAUGGCACUGCCCGGUAGCUAAAUGCGGAAGAGAUAAGUGCUGAAAGCAUCUAAGCACGAAACUUGCCCC